RNAcentral lists this long non-coding RNA (6838 nucleotides) under Homo sapiens (human). RNAcentral's name for it is "PREDICTED lncRNA (TCONS_00201966)". The stretch from base 3197 to 3304 matches the Rfam family "FAM13A antisense RNA 1 conserved region 2". The record is from RNAcentral. Lineage: Eukaryota; Metazoa; Chordata; Mammalia; Primates; Hominidae.
GUCAUCAGGCCACUCCAUGGGCCCUGGGAGACCAUCAGCACACAGUUGGGCCCUUCCUCAGCAAGCAGCUCUGUGUUCUCAGCAGUAUGAGUAAGCAUUGAGGCCUCAAUAGUUGGCAAAAAGCAGAUCUUCCUGUGGGAAAAAUACUUUGAAUAAGGAAGAAAAAGGAGAUUUGUAUUAUAUAAGUUUGGCUGUCUCUAAUUUAAAGAAAGUUAAACUUUAUUGCACAACGACUACUAGUUCUUUCUUCUUCUUCUUCCUUCUCCUCCUCUUCCUUCUCCUUUUUCUGUCUCCUCCUACUUCUCCUUGUCCUUUUUCUCCUCCUCCUCCUCCUUCCCUUCUCCUCCUCCUCCUCUUUCUCCUUCCCUUCUCCUCCUUCUCCUCCUUCCUCUAUCUUUUUCUCCUCCUCCUUCUUCUCUUUCCUUUCUCCUUCUUCUCCUCCUCCUUCUCCCCCCCUUCUCUUUCUCCUCCUCCUUCUCCUUCUUUCUUCUCCUUCUUUUCUUCUCCUCCUCCUCCUUUUCUCCUCUCCUCCUCCUUUUUUCUUCUCCUUCUUCUCCUCCUCCUUCUCUUCCUUCUCAUUCUUCCCCUUCUUCUUUUCCUUCGUUUCCUCCCCCCCUCCACCUCCUCUCAAAUUUAGUUUUCCACGGAAUCCCCCAUCCUUUGGAAAUUUUUUUUUUGCUUAGUAUCUGUUCAUUUCUUCCAGAAUCAUAGUUUGGAAUUAAUGGACACAUAGUAGUUAAUCAGAUGAUAGAGAUUAAAGUGAAGGGAGGCAUACACUGGAAUAGCAAAAUAUGUUUGCAGUGAAACCCAAUGAAUAGAAUACUUCAUGUUAGGGUGAAGUAUUGGAGGAAAAACAAAUACUUUCAUUAAAAUCAAAGCUACUCUUCAGAAUUUCAUUAUUUUCUUUUAAUGAGAAAUGUAUGUGUUGGUCGUCUUGUCGUCUUUGACUCUUAAAAUGUAACCAAGCAAAUUUUAAACUACAUCUCUAAAGUGCCUAAGUGUGAUGCCUACGUUACCUUUAACUUAACUUCGUUAGUGGCAGAGGUUCCAUGAGUUAUGAGUACUCUGCUCUGUGAAUGUCUCCAUUUUUGAGGUGCCUUUGUGGAGUAUUGAUAGGGACCAUUCCUGGGCUCCACUUACAGACUUCUGUUGGGGAAUAGGAUCUCACAAAGCAGAACAGGAGUUUGUGAUAAGGAAGAGGACAAAGAGAGCAGGUCCUUGUGUUCUUCAAAAACGGUGAACAUUAUCCUACUGAUUUUGGACCAAGGGAGUUCUCCAGUGGGAAGUGACACAGAACCUACCACAGUGCCUUCCAAUCCAGGUUUUUGGUAAUGAGUGAUGAAUGAAUCCCAUGAGAGCAGAGCCCCGUGGAGCGGGUGGCAAAUGUUGCUCUCUGACUACAGUUCUCUCCUUAGGGAUGCUAACACAGACUGCCUCAGAUGCAGGCAGGGCUGCUUGUCCACACUGAUCAGGCAUGGAUUUGCAUUAACAUCUGUAGUGCCCUUUACUUGUGCAGUGAGAUACUGGGAUAUACAACAGAAUAGGUGCUGGAAGAGGCAUCCACUACAGUGUGGGCAGACUCUUUGGAUCUGUAUUAAUAACAGCCUCUCCCGUGGAUUAGCUAGUCCAGGCUUUGGUGCUUUAUUUCCUCCCAAAAUAAUGGAGUGUGUACUCCUUAGUUAUGUGUAGCACCAAGAAAAUUAAUCCAGAUGUCAUCUUUUUUGUUUCCCCCUCCAGCGUGGCUGGAUACUUGGCAGGGCACAGAAUCACAUGGUCUUCAGAUCUUCUAAAAGCUGAUUUUCCUGGGCCUAAUCCCAUGAGAGUUGGAGACAGUCUAUGAUAAUUACUGAUUCAGCUCCUGCUGGUGUUGAACUUACUGAGAAACUUAAACAAGAAUUAAAAUACACACCCACACACCCUCAGAUGGAGCCAAACACUAAACCAGAUUAGUCUUUCGUGGUCACCUUUUCUUCAGGAUUAGGAGGAUCAGAAAGCAAGAGCAGAUUCUGAAACACUGUAACCCCAUUCCCUACUGGGUCAUAAGAGGCUGGUGCUCUUGAGGACGAAGGUCGGCAGCAGGUGCCAACUAGGUACUGGCUUCUGGUCCCAGCAGAGCUGGCCUGCCACAGCCCAAGCGUCUUGUUUUGGUUAAAAAAUGAGUCUCUUGGCCUUUCAUGCCUGGGCGUUCUCCGGAACUCAGAUGUUUGUGAACCAGGUUCAGGGACUCUCAAGUUCAAGUCACUGGCAGAUUGGAGAAAAGACCUAGAAGUUCUAAGUGUCUGAGGUAAUGAGAGGAGGGACGCAAAGCCUCAUUCAAUGAGACUGCAAAGUCACCUGAAUGGGAAAGCUUGCCCUAUUGCUGGCCUCGGCAAUGGCACCUUCAGGUUGUCCCCUGUACGGGUUGAUGAGGGAGUGGAGGACCCCAGGUCCCUUCUUAAUGUCAGCCUUGGCCACAGGUUUCGAUGAAAUUUAGUAUGUUGAUUAGGAGCUGCCAAAAUCAGAGCAACUCCCCUCCCAAGGGGACGUUUAGUUUUCAGUUGUUAAAAAUACACCCUGAGACAGAAAUUUUGGGACACUUAAGUGACUUUGAAAUCCAUCCAAAGGUUACUCUGUUCCUUCACUCCACACAGCUCAGGCAUUUCCAUGUUGGUCUCAGCUGCCAUCUCAAUGGUUUAUUCUUUUUACAUGUUGGAGCAGAUCUGGACCUCCCAAAAUGUUUUGAGGAGAAGUGGGCUUAGAGGGGUUUUCCCUGCUCUGUGAGAGAAGGAAUUUAGCAAGGAUUAAUUUUUCUAAGAAGGUGGCACAAGUUUUGAUGUGAUUUGCUGGAAAAUAGUAAUAGUCACAAUUUAUCUUAUUCCCCCAAGAGAAUGGGAUGAUGUUCCCAUGGAACCUUGCUCAUCCUGCUAGCAAUAACUUGUAUUCUCUUUCUGAUUCACACAAACAAGGAUCAGAGGGUGAUGGUGGGGGAAAUGAUACCAGGAAAUACAGUUCGUUUUUUGCAGGGAUUCAGAAUGUGUUGCUGGACUUCAAGAUAGGAAGAAUCUUUGCCUUGAUGGCUGAUGACAGUAACCACCCCAUCUACCAUCAUCUAUUAAGGAUUUACUGUGUGGUCACUUUACAGUCAUCCAAGUAAAUUUUCAUAAUCACCUGAUUACAUGGGUACCGCUUUUCAGAAAAAGAAACAGAUUUCUGGAGGGAUUCAGAAUCCAUGGCUGGAAGAGGUAGUAAGGCCAUUGGGAGGGCAUGCCUCUCCUCAGCCCACCCCCACCCUGUGUGGGUCUCCAUUCUGAAAUUUCCAUUCAGCUGACAGAAGAGAGCUGCUACCUCACUUCAGCAAUGGAAAAUGUUGCUGUAAAUCCCAUUGGACCAGCCAGUUUCUCACGACCCUUUAAAACUGAAAACGGAUGACCCGGUCCUAGGCAGGGACCAAAAUUCCUUGUCAGCUGAGGAAGUCCUGAAGAAACAUCCUGAAGAUGAUGACUGCACUGCCAUCGUGGGCAGAUGCAGCUUCCAUCUACCUGAGGGCUGAAGGGGAAAACCUUUCACACACGUGAGGAAGGCGCAGCUCUGUGGAAAGGUCACUAGAAUGGCAGCGGCAGCAAAUAGGGCUCCAAUGCACGUUUGCAGUUAACUGGGUCCAAGGAGAGCAUGGCCCUCCACAGCAAGUUUGCUCUAUAGAAUAAAGUCCUGAGCUUGUUUUUAUCACAGUUAGACAGAGAAUGGUCUCUUGUUUCUCAGUUAUCCAGGGAAGAACAGUGUAUAUUCUCUGUAGAUGAGUGUUGUCUAAUGUAGUGAUUAAUCUCUGCUAGUGUUAGGAAAGCUCCACUACUGUGUGUGUGUGUGCGUGCAUGCGCGUGCGCAUGUGCACAUACUGCAGUCUUGACUUUCCAAUUACAAAAUGCCUAAGUCAGGUCACAUUGUCUUCUUCCAGCCAGUUUCUAAGGCAGGCAAUGGAAACAGGAGCCGAUGCCAAAUGGUCUAGAGGCAGAAGGGCUGCAUGCUUUGCAGGGCCAGCCCCAAGGCUGCCUUCCAGAGCUGCACUUUCUCUGGGGACAGUAAACUCUCACCGCAGCUGCCAGCCCCCUGUGCUUGGCCAUGCCCCUCACAUGGACUUGGAAUCAGUGUCUCUCUUGCUGAUGAGCACCUCCAGGAGCCUCAGUUUCGCCUUUAUGUGCUUAUAUUCACUGUAUUCUUCAGCCAUAGGAGUGCGGUCUUCCUUCUGGACAUUUCUAAUGCAAAUAAAGGAAAAAGGGGUCUGAGGAUCAUUUUCUGUCUUUGCUAGAUACUAUUCAUCGGGCAAAUUAUCAUUGUUUAGAAACUUUGCAGUUUAUCAACUUGUAGAAUCAGUGUUGCCGAGUGGCCCUUGGUCUCAAGACUGGGGCUGGAUUUAGACAAGUAAUGAAAAUGUUUCACCCAGAAGGCAACAUGCAACUGAGUUUUUAUAUAGUUAAUCUGGCAUCCUGUAUGAUAAGAAGGCUAAGAAAUGCAGAAAUUCUCUCUGCUAAGUAUGAAUUCACAUUGAGCUCUCAUACACCAAAAUCUUUUAUUCAUACUUAAUGUUUUCUCAUUCUUAUAUAUUUCAUCUCGUGAAAUUUUAAAUUUUUAAUUAGCAACUGGUCCACAACUUAGUUUUUUUUUUUUUUUUUUUUUCCAAAAACAGAUAGUUAAUACUCCUACUUAUCAUAAAACUGUGUUAGAAUUCAGCAGCUGGAUUACAUAAUACUAUUAUAAUAAGCCUUUAUUAUUGAGUAACUUUACAUACAUAAUAUUUAUAUGCACAAGUAUUUGAGAGCUUAUAGGUCAAGCCCUGUGCUAAGUACUUUGUACCCAUGAUCUGAUAGAACCCUUAUAACACCUUGAUGAGAUGCAGCCAUUUUCUACACACUACACAUGAUGAAACCAGCACAGGAAAUCAGAUAACUUGCCUGCUCUUGGCCACCACGCGGUGCGCUGCUGCUUUGUGUUUUAUGGGAAAUUGCACAUGGCAAACAUUCAACCAUAGGCUUCCUGCCUUUAUUAUUAAAGGGCAAAUAUGGGUAAGGAGGAUAGCAUGGGGCUUGAUUUGUUCAAUGACCUAAAAAUAAACUGAUCUUAUUCAUACCCUGCCUUGUUCUAGGAAAGGAUUCUAGUGGCUUCUCAGCAGAGGGCAGGGCAAGGAACAGGUGCUCAGGAAUUGGAGCAUCUGGCACGCAGGCCCCCACUGCACUCUGAGGGGCUUCACUCUCCUCAGACACGAAGUCAUGGAACCAGAGCUUAUCUCCUAAGUCCCUCAUAGUUCUAAACUUUUUUGACAAUUAAGUUAACGUCCUCCAUUGACAUUUUCUUAAAACCUGGGUGGUUUGCGUAAUUCUACAUGUAUAAGAUAUCUGUGCAUAAUGUGACUUAGAAUAAUAUAAAAAAGGAUAAGCCAAAAAAUAGGCUUAGAUGAAAGACUGGAAAGAUACACGUCAAAACAUUAAUUCUGACUUGUCUUUGGUUAUUAUUGUUUUGGGAAUUACUACUUAAAUUUGCUUACCUAUAUUUUCUAAAUACUGUGCAAUGGGUGGGAAAUGAAAAGCAAGUGUUUAGGUAUAAAAAUAUAUGAGACAUAUCCAAAUCAGAGAUCCUAAAAGUAAAUUCAUACAAUAAUUGUUAAACUAAACUGAAAUACAAUAUAUUUUAAAUGACAAAGUUAAUUUUUAUGGUGCUUUCAUUUCCCCAAACUUUCAAGAAGUAUAAAAGAGGACUCAAGAGAAACAAUACUUACAUAGCUUCAGUAAUCUGGGUUAAAUCCAAUUUAAAAUGAUAAAACCUAACUCCAAUGUAAGAGAUGCAAAUCUGUUCCUGGUUCUUUCCUCAGGCUCCUACUGUGACUUUCGGUAAGAUUUUUGUGUGCUGUUGCUUGUAAACAUGAAAGACUAAAUUGUGCCUUAAAAUUCACUGGCGAGAGGCAGCCCAUCAACCAGGUAGAUUUACUGCUUUUCUUUUCUUUGUUUUUUUUGAGACGAAGUCUUGCUCUGUAGCCCAGGCUGCAGUGCAGUGGCGUGAUCUCGGCUCACUGCAACCUUGGCCUCCCGGGUUCAAGUGAUUCUCUUGCCUCAGCCUCGAGUAGCUGGGAUUACAGGCCUGUGCUACUGCACCCGGCUAAUUUUUUGUAUUUUUAGUAGAGAUGGGGUUUCACCAUGUUGGUCAGGCUGGUCUUGAACUCCUUACCUCAUGUAAUCCACCCUCCUUGACCUCCCAAAGUGCUAGGAUUACAGGCGUGAGCCACCACGCCUGGCCGACUUACUGAUUUUCAUACAUAUUUUUCAUUUAAACUUGGCAAUUAUCACCUUCAUUUUUGAAAUGAGCUUGAAAAUCAGUAAUACUUAGAUCUCUCUUUCCCUUGUUUCUCUAGCUCCUUUUAUUUAGAAAUGAAGUCUCACUCUAUUGCCCAGAAUAGAGUGCAGUAGCAGACCACAGCUCCCUGCAGCCUCAAACUCCUGGGUUCAAGCAAUCCUCCUGCCUUAGCCUCCCAAGUAGCUAGAGCUACAGGUGUGCCACUACGGCCGCUUGGCUAACCUCUAGCUUCUUAAGAAAAAAGCGUUGGUGCCACCACCAGCGGGAAACGCAGCUUCCUGCUGCUCAUUGUAGAUAAGAAUUUGAUGGGACAGGUUCAUUUCAUAAAUGUCAGCUGAAUCUGCAUUAGUCUUGGGCAUUACCCAAAGAGCAUUUCUUCUGGGAGGUCCACACAAAUCCCAUCAUCUCACAGUCAACCUCUAAGUGUCCCUGGGCACAAACCCAAGGACCAGGUUACAGGGAGGAUGCAGAAGAGUCCCCCCUUUGAAGGCAUUCCACAGAUCUGACAGAAAAACAAGAG